GACGAACGCUGGCGGCGUGCCUAAUACAUGCAAGUCGAACGCUUCUUUCCUCCCGAGUGCUUGCACUCAAUUGGAAAGAGGAGUGGCGGACGGGUGAGUAACACGUGGGUAACCUACCCAUCAGAGGGGGAUAACACUUGGAAACAGGUGCUAAUACCGCAUAACAGUUUAUGCCGCAUGGCAUAAGAGUGAAAGGCGCUUUCGGGUGUCGCUGAUGGAUGGACCCGCGGUGCAUUAGCUAGUUGGUGAGGUAACGGCUCACCAAGGCCACGAUGCAUAGCCGACCUGAGAGGGUGAUCGGCCACACUGGGACUGAGACACGGCCCAGACUCCUACGGGAGGCAGCAGUAGGGAAUCUUCGGCAAUGGACGAAAGUCUGACCGAGCAACGCCGCGUGAGUGAAGAAGGUUUUCGGAUCGUAAAACUCUGUUGUUAAAGAAGAACAAGGACGUUAGUAACUGAACGUCCCCUGACGGUAUCUAACCAGAAAGCCACGGCUAACUACGUG
RNAcentral lists this ribosomal RNA (508 nucleotides) under uncultured bacterium. Its description in RNAcentral is "partial 16S ribosomal RNA". It matches the Rfam family "Bacterial small subunit ribosomal RNA", at positions 28 to 507 of the family's 1533-position model. The record is from RNAcentral.